RNAcentral lists this ribosomal RNA (294 nucleotides) under Triticum aestivum (bread wheat). RNAcentral describes it as "partial small subunit ribosomal RNA". The record is from RNAcentral. Lineage: Eukaryota; Viridiplantae; Streptophyta; Magnoliopsida; Poales; Poaceae.
AUGCGGCAGCUUCGACUCAUCACCAACAUGAGGGCUCAUAAUGACACGUGGUUUGCCGAUUAUUUGCUAAGGGUCGGCAAUGUCACUGAGGAUGUCGACCUUCAAGGCAACAUAGUACUCCCUAGAGAUAUUUGUCUGCCGUCUACAGGCGAGGUUGAGGACCUAGAGAAGCUUAUUGAACACGUAUUUCCGAGUCUAGACGACAACAUGGCUGAUUCAUUUUACAUGACAUGUCGAGCAAUGCUUUCCACAACAAAUGAUAAUGUAGACAAGAUAAACAUCCGCAUGAUAGAG